RNAcentral lists this long non-coding RNA (361 nucleotides) under Vitis vinifera (wine grape). RNAcentral's name for it is "long non-coding RNA (VVIN_LNC006049)". Lineage: Eukaryota; Viridiplantae; Streptophyta; Magnoliopsida; Vitales; Vitaceae. The record is from RNAcentral.
GGCGCAUUUUCGGCGACCAGUACCGAUGAUUGUUUGCGCGGCGAAGCCACCGGGAAGCCUUGAUUUGACGUAUUUCUUCAAGUCUGCUGUCUCCAAUUCAAGCGGCGAAGCAACCGCAGCAGCGGAGGCAACGACGGCCAGUGAAGAGGUUUUGGUCAGAUGGGAAAUGGAAAGAGAAUUGGAGCGGACAAAGGAGAGUGAAGAGGGUCUUUGAGAAAUAUGGGAAGAAAAUGAAAGAGACGAGAGUGAAGAUGUAAGGGAGGACAUGGAAAUUGCCAUUGCGUAAAGCUAGGUCGGUGUUUAUUUCCCUGGAAAAUGGAUUUCCAGGCGUUGUAAGCUGAGGGGACAAGAGCGGGUGAGA